Molecule: long non-coding RNA, 606 nt
Organism: Gadus morhua (Atlantic cod)
Lineage: Eukaryota; Metazoa; Chordata; Actinopteri; Gadiformes; Gadidae
Exons: 3
Source: RefSeq, a predicted model, not a curated record
CGAGUACAACAAGUUAAUGCAGGAGGAUGAUACUACAAGGUGAGGCAACAAGUUCAUACAACAAGUUAAUACGAGAGGUUGAUACUACAAGGUGAGGCAACAAGUUAAUACGAGAGGUUGAUACUACAAGGUGAGGCAACAAGUUAAUACAACAAGUUAAUACGAGAGGUUGAUACUACAAGGUGAGGCAACAAGUUCAUACAACAAGUUAAUACGAGAGGUUGAUACUACAAGGUGAGGCAACAAGUUAAUACGAGAGGUUGAUACUACAAGGUGAGGCAACAAGUUAAUACGAGAGGUUGAUACUACAAGGUGAGGCAACAAGUUAAUACAACAAUUUAAUACGAGAGGUUGAUACUACAAGGUGAGGCAACAAGUUCAUACAACAAGUUAAUACGAGAGGUUGAUACUACAAGGUGAGGCAACAAGUUAAUACGAGUGGUUGAUACUACAAGGUGAGGCAACAAGUUAAUACGAGAGGUUGAUACUACAAGGUGAGGCAACAAGUUAAUACGAGUGGUUGAUACAACCAUGGGCGCAGAUGGCACUAGGGGCGGGGGGAUAUGACCCCCUCAGAUUCAUAGUGACCCCCACUGUCCCUACAAA